Molecule: ribosomal RNA, 137 nt
Filed under: uncultured bacterium
Lineage: Bacteria
Description: partial 16S ribosomal RNA
Rfam family: Bacterial small subunit ribosomal RNA
Source: RNAcentral
UGGGGAAUUUUCCGCAAUGGGCGAAAGCCUGACGGAGCAACGCCGCGUGAGGGAUGAAGGCCUCUGGGCUGUAAACCUCUUUUAUCAAGGAAGAAGAUCCGACGGCACUUGAUGAAUAAGCCACGGCUAAUUCCGUG